Molecule: small RNA, 132 nt
Filed under: Klebsiella pneumoniae
Lineage: Bacteria; Pseudomonadati; Pseudomonadota; Gammaproteobacteria; Enterobacterales; Enterobacteriaceae
Description: RtT sRNA
Rfam family: RtT RNA
About the family: This family represents a bacterial cis-regulatory element known as RtT RNA. The exact function of RtT is unknown although it is thought that it may be involved in changing the cellular response in relation to amino acid starvation.
Source: RNAcentral
UAUUCUGCCCUACAGGGAAGGAUGAGAAGCUUCGACUAAGGUUCGACUCGAGCGCAGCGAGAGAACGUUGCCGCAGGCAACGGCCCGAAGGGCGAGGAGAGAUAGCGACGAGUAAUCCUUCCCCCACCACCA